This 465-nucleotide ribosomal RNA is filed under the name Vreelandella stevensii. Its description in RNAcentral is "partial 16S ribosomal RNA". It matches the Rfam family "Bacterial small subunit ribosomal RNA", at positions 338 to 795 of the family's 1533-position model. The record is from RNAcentral. Lineage: Bacteria; Pseudomonadati; Pseudomonadota; Gammaproteobacteria; Oceanospirillales; Halomonadaceae.
CCUACGGGUGGCAGCAGUGGGGAAUAUUGGACAAUGGGCGAAAGCCUGAUCCAGCCAUGCCGCGUGUGUGAAGAAGGCCUUCGGGUUGUAAAGCACUUUCAGUGGGGAAGAAAGCCUUGGGGCUAAUACCCUCGAGGAAGGACAUCACCCACAGAAGAAGCACCGGCUAACUCCGUGCCAGCAGCCGCGGUAAUACGGAGGGUGCGAGCGUUAAUCGGAAUUACUGGGCGUAAAGCGCGCGUAGGCGGUCUGAUAAGCCGGUUGUGAAAGCCCCGGGCUCAACCUGGGAACGGCAUCCGGAACUGUCAGGCUAGAGUGCAGGAGAGGAAGGUAGAAUUCCCGGUGUAGCAGUGAAAUGCGUAGAGAUCGGGAGGAAUACCAGUGGCGAAGGCGGCCUUCUGGACUGACACUGACGCUGAGGUGCGAAAGCGUGGGUAGCAAACAGGGUUAGAUACCCUGGUAGUC